AUAGUACUGGAUCAAAGGACAAUACUAAUGUUACCACAUCUAACAUAUAAGUAAAGUAGUGCAAACAGAAGUCACUUCUCAUGCUAACACUUCUAAAAUGGUGCAAAAAGAAAUGAUAACGGAAAAUGUGAAAACUAGAAAAAAGAUGUUUUGUCUACGCAAGAGACUUCACUUCUUGGGACAUCAUCGCAGUUGGAAUCACAAGAAAAUAUACAUAAUACACAUUCAACAAAUGUCCUAGAGAUCAAGUGUACUCUAUAUACUAUAAAUAUGAACAACUGUGUGGCUUAUGGUACAAUUCAUUUGUCAACGGGAAAACAAAGCAUUCAUGGAGUUCCACUACAAGAUAAUUGCUAUAGAGUUUCUAUUGAUAAAGUUGUAAAAGAAGCAGCAUUUCUACCGGUAGAAUCAUGUGAGGUCAAAACAGUUGGGGAUGCACUAAAUACUUUUGUUGCUUGGCCAAAAUACCUUGUCAAAACUAGCCAAAAGAUACCAAAUCUAUCAAGCAUUCAAACACAAAACACUACAACUCAAGUCGCUAAAAAGCAAAAGAUGUGUUUUACAACGCUAGAUGGCAACAAAAAACAGGGAGCAAGAAGAACAAGAAAAACACUUU
Helianthus annuus (common sunflower) is the source of this 616-nucleotide long non-coding RNA. RefSeq lists it as uncharacterized. Lineage: Eukaryota; Viridiplantae; Streptophyta; Magnoliopsida; Asterales; Asteraceae. The record is from RefSeq and is a predicted model, not a curated record. The transcript has 4 exons.